UAAUGUCAAAGUGCUCUUUUUCUACUUUCAUAGCCUUGGUAGUAGGGCUUUUGAAAAAGGUCCCCUUUGCUGACAACUUCUUCAGGUCCUGGCUGGGAGCUUUUUACCUUCCAAACUGAAUUUCAAGCUACAGUAUUUUCACAAUUACCAUUUUUAUCUUCUCGUGGAAAAUGUAAAUUAACUGCUGAAUUUUUCUAAUUCUUUUUUUCUAAUUCUUGUUUUCCUUGGAAAAAAAAUUGUGGAAUCUGAAUAUUUUUCUUUUUGUAUUUCUUUUCACACAUGCUCUUCAGUGAAGCAAUUAAUUUAGAAUGCGUGCAGAAAAUGAAUUCUGGUUGGCUCAUGAUACCAUUUAAUUCUGAAGAGUAUAAAUCCCAUCUAUCUGCCUGGUGCGUGACACAAACUCAGAACAUUUUGGGCUGGAAGGAAUGUUCAGAGAUCACUGAUUUCAGCCCCCAGUGCUCUUGAUUAGGCAACUGCAUAAACUUUGUGCAUCUGGUAAGUCUGUUGCAUAAAAUUUCCAGUGUAUCUGAUAAUUUACUGCUAAACUUGUCCUGAUUUUUUUUUUUGAGGA
RNAcentral lists this long non-coding RNA (571 nucleotides) under Taeniopygia guttata (zebra finch). RNAcentral's name for it is "lncRNA (ENSTGUG00000029518.1)". The record is from RNAcentral. Lineage: Eukaryota; Metazoa; Chordata; Aves; Passeriformes; Estrildidae.